AUUGAACGCUGGCGGCAGGCUUAACACAUGCAAGUCGAGCGGAGAUGAGGUGCUUGCACCUUAUCUUAGCGGCGGACGGGUGAGUAAUGCUUAGGAAUCUGCCAUUUAGUGGGGGACAACAUUCAGAAAGGAAUGCUAAUACCGCAUACGUCCUACGGGAGAAAGCAGGGGAUCUUCGGACCUUGCGCUAAAUGAUGAGCCUACGUCGGAUUAGCUAGUUGGUGGGGUAAAGGCCUACCAAGGCGACGAUCUGUAGCGGGUCUGAGAGGAUGAUCCUACACACUGGGACUGAGACACGGCCCAUACUCCUACGGGAGGCAGCAGUGGGGAAUAUUGGACAAUGGGCGGAAGCCUGAUCCAGCCAUGCCGCGUGUGUGAAGAAGGCCUUUUGGUUGUAAAGCACUUUAAGCGAGGAGGAGGCUACUAGUAUUAAUACUACUGGAUAGUGGACGUUACUCGCAGAAUAAGCACCGGCUAACUCUGUGCCAGCCGCCGCCGUAAGAC
Molecule: ribosomal RNA, 504 nt
Filed under: uncultured bacterium
Lineage: Bacteria
Description: bacterial SSU rRNA
Rfam family: Bacterial small subunit ribosomal RNA
Source: RNAcentral